Molecule: ribosomal RNA, 440 nt
Filed under: uncultured bacterium
Lineage: Bacteria
Description: partial 16S ribosomal RNA
Rfam family: Bacterial small subunit ribosomal RNA
Source: RNAcentral
CCUACGGGAGGCAGCAGUGGGGAAUAUUGCGCAAUGGGGGAAACCCUGAUCCAGCGACGCCGCGUGAGUGAAGAAGUUAUUCGUUAUGUAAAGCUCUAUUAGCAGGGAAGAAAAUGACGGUACCUGAGUAAGAAGCCCCGUCUCACUACCUGACAGCAGCCGGAGUAAUACGUAGGGGGCAAGCGUUAUGCGGAUUUAAUGGGUGUAAAGGGAGCGUAGACGGGAUUGCCAGUCUGGAGUGAAAGGGCGGGGCUAAAACCCCGGAUUGCUGUGGAAACUGUACGGCUGGAGUGCAGGAGAGGUAAGUGGAAUUCCUAGUGUAGCGGUGAAAUGCGUAGAUAUAAGGAGGAACACCAGUGGCGAAGGCGGCUUACUGGACUGUAACUGACGUUGAGGCUCGAAAGCGUGGGGAGCGAACAGGAUUAGAUACCCUUGUAGUC